AUAUGUUUUUGAUGUUGAACCAUUUGACUAUGCUAAGGACUUUAAUGGGGAGAACUUUGUUUUCCCAGGUUUCAAUAGCUGUGGUUGCUGAUGGGGUGGAGGCUUCAGCACCUGCGGAAGCAGUUACCAGGUCCCAUUUCCAUAGAGUAUGCCUCCUGGAAAAAGUGACCCGGGCAAGGAAUGCAAACCACAAAGAAGGAAGACAUUUGCAUGCGAGCCAGGACAGCCUUGUCCAUGGAUUGAAGGAUCUAUCUUCCACCUGUCAAGGAAAUGCUCUCCUUGCCGAGAUCACAGCUAAUCCUGGAAACCUAGGGCUCCUGUAAGAAAGAUAGAAUGAGCACUCUGAGGAGGGGUUGCCCACUGAGUACAGAGAACACCCUAGUGGAGGUGCCAAAUUACAACCAGGAUGGAUGGUAGCGUGUCUAAGGAGCCCUCCACCCCAGCCUAGACCAUUGUUGAUUUGGCAUGGACAAGCUGUCAAGAUGAAGGGUACCACCUAAUAACUGGUAAGAAACUGUUGCACACUGGAAUGU
Molecule: long non-coding RNA, 533 nt
Filed under: Phascolarctos cinereus (koala)
Lineage: Eukaryota; Metazoa; Chordata; Mammalia; Diprotodontia; Phascolarctidae
Description: lncRNA (ENSPCIG00000001550.2)
Source: RNAcentral